CCGGAAGCGGAAGGCGGCGGUGAAUGGCGGCGGCGCGGGGUUGCCAUGUCCUUUAGCAGUCAAAUCCUGGCGGUUAAGCACUAAUUAAAGGUUAAUGAGAGGUUAAUUGUGAGUUCAGCGUUAAUGAAGCGCGGGGCGCUAAUUGGGGCUGACGAGCCCUGGGCCGCCCCUCCGCCCCCGCUCCGGAGCCGCCGCGGCCUCUGCACACGGGAGGGGCCACGGGACCCCUAUGAGGUGCUGGGGGUACGGCCCGAGGCGUCACCCGCUGAGAUCCGCGCAGCUUUCCUGGCCCGCUGCAAGGAGGUGCACCCGGACGGGGACCCCACGGACCCCACCCGCCACGGGCGGUUCCUGCUGCUGGCCGAGGCCUACGGGGCCCUGAGUCACGGCCACGCCCACGGCCACGCCCCGCCCACGGCCCGCCCACGAGCCACGCCCACCUACGGGGGAGCCCCGCCCCGCACGGAGACCCCCCCACGGGCUGACCCCAACCGCCGGUACUGGGACCAGUUCCGCCCCCCCAGGCCCCCCCACCCCCCCACCCACCGCCGCCGCCUGCUGGGACUCGUCCUGCUGCUGGGUGCCCUGGGGGGGGCGGCCCACGCCCUGGCCUACAGGUACGUGGCGGGGGCUCACGCCGCCUUCCUGGACGAGAGGGACCGAGUGCUGAGAGCAGCCUACGAGCGGGCCCGCAGCCGGGCGGGGUCACGGGAGGAGGUGCUGCGGCGGCUGCGGGCCUCGCGUCAGCAGGGGCGGGGAGGUGGGGGGGGGCAAUAAACCCCCUCCCCCCACCCCCCAACCUGCCCCCUCCCCCCCCCGGACACCGGGAGGACCCGAGGCGCGGGGUCCCGAUCGCCGCCUUCUGCCAGGAUUUCAACGAGCGCUCCCGGGACAUCAAGGCCGGGGUCCCGCUGCGGCCCGACCGCAGCUACGACCUGACCAUCGGGCCCCCCCCCACCUCGUACUUCCUCAAAGCCGUUGCCGGUGUCCGGAAAGGGGCGGCCCGGCCCGGGCACGAGGAGGUGGGGGUGGUGUCCCUGAAGCACCUCUACGAGGUGGCGCUGGCCAAGCAGCGGGACCCGGCGCUGGCGGCUCGAGGGACCCCCCUGCCCGCCCUGGUUGACGGCCGAGGACUGCGCCGCCUUCCAGCGCCAGCGGCGGGAGCAGGAGGCAGCCAUGGCCGAGGAGGAAGAGGAGGGGGUGAAGAAGAAGUGACCUCGCCCCCCACCCCUGCCCCCCGUUUUUGGGGGGAUCCCCCCAAUAAAAGUCUUUUUCCUUCA
Molecule: RNA transcript, 1280 nt
Organism: Grus americana (Whooping crane)
Lineage: Eukaryota; Metazoa; Chordata; Aves; Gruiformes; Gruidae
Gene: MRPL11
Gene name: mitochondrial ribosomal protein L11
Exons: 11
Source: RefSeq, a predicted model, not a curated record